GGCGGUUCUCGCGUGACGCAUCCAGGAAUCAGGCUCCCUCCUCUCUGGUUCUGGAUACAUCACCUGAGAACCGUA
This is a non-coding RNA of Myotis davidii, 75 nucleotides long. Lineage: Eukaryota; Metazoa; Chordata; Mammalia; Chiroptera; Vespertilionidae. The record is from Rfam.